UAAGAAUUGAUCUCAAUAUUAUCUGAAGACAUGUUAUAACCGAGAAAAAUAUUGAAGACGUUUGCCGUACAUGUGUGUACCUCAAAGUUUCAGACAGACAGAAUCACUUUACACAAGAGGUCGAAGGCCAUGGAACUAGUAAUUUACAUCUUUUGUAUAAUGGUCGCUUUCGUGUUUUCCGGACGGCCAGCUCUACAGACAGAGAAAUCUGUUCUUGAGCUAUUUCCAGAUUACGUUAGUUUGAAACAAGACUAUCAAGAUUUGAAACAAGACUAUCAAGAUUUUAAACAAGACAAUCAGGAUAUCAAGGCUGAAUUAGCAGCCAUUAAAUCUAGGCAGAAUGAAAGAGGUACUACAUACAUCAGAUGGUCAAGAAAACGAUGUCCUAAUAAUGGAUAUACGGAGCUUGUGUACUCAGGGUAUGCAGGAGGUGGAGAGUGGAUCAGUCAGGCUCAGCACCAGAAUCAGUCUGUCUACCAUCAGACCCUGAUUUUGUCAAGACAAGUAAUGCUGGUGUUGUUGGUGGUGGUUAUAUGUUUGGAACAAAAUUUGAUUAUAAUUUUGCUCCAAAUAGUAAUAAUAGGAACUUACCAUGUGCUGUAUGUAGAGUGAAACAGGCAUCCACUGUUAUAAUGAUACCAGGGAAAAACAGAUGCUAUACAGGUUGGAACAUGGAGUACCAUGGUUAUCUGGCUUCAAAUUACUAUAACGCUGCUGCAGCUGGAUCAUAUGUCUGUAUUGAUAUACAGCCUGAAUAUCUCAAUGGGGGAGCAAUAAAUGUCAGCCAAGGUAAAAAAUUCCAUGAAGUUGUUGCCAAAUGUGGAUCACUACUUUGUCCUCCGUACAAAGAGGAUUAUUCACUUACUUGUGUUGUUUGUUCAAAAUAAAUGUUAAUAAAUGAUAUUUCAUGAUAUAAUCAAUCCAAAUACAAUGUUAUUUUAAAAAUAGUUUUUAAUAGAUAACCAAGUGGUGAGUCCAGGUUUUUGAAAAAGAGGGCACGGAGGAUCGAGCACCGUCGAAAAUAAGGGUCGGGGCGGCAAUAAAGUAUCAGAGAAAAAUUUACAAAUACACCAAAUGUUCGAAUCGAAGGGGCCAUUCUAAUCUCCACACUGGAUUCCUGGUAAGAGGGUCUGAAUUGGAAUUCUCGAAUAGAGAAUAAUGAGCAAAAAUUUGCAAAAUAAAGGUUAAAAAAAUAGAGAAAAGAGAAAACGAGUUAGAAAUAAAUAAAGAAUAGAGACAAAAAUGGCAAAAAAAGAGAAUAAAGGGCAAAAUGAAUAAGGAAAGAGAAAAACGGUCUAAAAAAUUAAAGAAUAGAGAAAUGAAUUACACCCAUCUUGACCCCUUGGUAAAUUAAAUAGAAUCUUGCACAUUGUACAUCAAUUUGAACCAUAAAAAGACAUCUUGAGGUCUUUAUGUGGUCGUCAAUGAGUAAGAUUAGCUAUGUAUGCAUAAACGAUAUCUUUGACAUGUAAUCUCGUAUUUGGAUGUAAAAUUAAUUUUCCCCUGUAAAAACCUGUGCCAUUAAUAGCCAACACCUAGCGUGUGUCGUGCAAACAAGUGGUGAUCACAUUUUUAGCAAGAGCACAAAAAAUAACUGAACAUUUAAAUAAAUCCAAUAAAAGCGAACACAUUGAUUUGGCAUUGCUUAAAGUUCAGCUUAUUUCAUCCAAGGGUGGUGGAGUCGAGCUGAUCUCGUUUUCAUAGAAAAUAUUUGGGUAAUGGUAUUUAUGUUUCUUUUUCUUAUUUUUAUUGACUAUUGUAUCUUUCGUUUGUUUAUUUUUUUUUUUUAAUUACCCCCAUUUAGAUCAUCAAUUUUCAUUUUGAAUAAUCAGUUUUGUCUUUUUAUUUUGUUUGAUAGUCUUUUCUUAUGUGUUGAGUGUGACACAUUAUUUUUUUACUAAAUUUUAUAUUCAAAACUAUCUAAUUAUGUAGAUUGCUUAACAGUUUAUUAACGUGUACAUAUUCAAUGUAUGUCAUAAAAUGAUCUCGAACUUCACAAUGCAUUUUAAAAUGUCCGAAAUAUUUGUGGUUACAUCUGCAACCUGUUAGAUUAUAAAUUUAUAUUUGUCAAUACUUAUGGUCAAGAUUGAACUUAAAUCUUACGGUUAUUCAACAUUUAUUUGAUCAAUUAUCUUUAUGUUCAAUACAUACGUGUGUAAAUAAUUCUCUUUGAUAAACGGAAUCAAUCUGUUAUCUAAUUUCUGUUGACAAAAUGACAAUUUUACAAACUUUGUUGUUAGCAACGUUAUUUGGUAUUUAAAGAAAGUUAAAUUAUUAUUCGGGGACUCCGUUUGGAUAUGCCAACGAGAGCAUAUACGAACUGCGUUAAGAUGCGCAAGCAGAUGUAUUUUCUUUUGAUUUAAAAUUACUGAUUUGUAAUGAUGUUUCAUUCUAUAUGUUUGCUCUAUUUAUUAAAAGAAUUUAGACUU
Long non-coding RNA from Mytilus californianus (California mussel), 2429 nucleotides. RefSeq lists it as uncharacterized. The transcript has 4 exons. The record is from RefSeq and is a predicted model, not a curated record. NCBI's taxonomy places the organism in Eukaryota, Metazoa, Mollusca, Bivalvia, Mytilida, Mytilidae.